RNAcentral lists this ribosomal RNA (519 nucleotides) under uncultured eukaryote. RNAcentral describes it as "partial 18S ribosomal RNA". It matches the Rfam family "Eukaryotic small subunit ribosomal RNA", at positions 1160 to 1709 of the family's 1831-position model. The record is from RNAcentral.
GGGGCACCCCCAGGAGUGGACCCUGCGGCUUAUUUUGACUCCACGGGGGAAAUCUCACCGCGCCGGGACAGUGGGAGGAUUCAGAUAGUGAGAUCUUUUUCGUGAUUGUGUGGGUGGGGGUGCGGGGCCGUUCAUAUGGGGGGGCGCGAUUUGUGGGGUUUUUUCCUAUCACGAGAGACACUCUCCCCUACUAAAUAGAUCGGUGUUUUACAAACAACGUCGAGACUUCUUAGGGGGACGGUGUUGAUUCAACCGCACGAAACAGAGCAAUAACAUGUCUGUGACGCCCAUAGAUGUCGCUGGCCGCACGCGCGCUACACUGAGGUGAUCAGCGUGCUUUUUGACGUAGUCUGUCGAUACCAGGAUGCAAACGUCCCUGCUUCGUGUCUGGAAUAGGAGAUUGUAACUAUGCUCAUGAACGACGAAUUAGUGUGAGUCGCGAGUCACGUCUCGCGUUGACUGGUCCUGUACACUCUACACAUCGCUGGCGCUACUGCGGAGUGAUGUAUAGUGAGUCUC